GGAUGCGAUGAUACCAGCACUAAAGCACCGGAUCCCAUCAAAACUCCGAAGUUAAGCGUGCUUGGGCGAGAGUAGUACUAGGAUGGGUGACCUCCUCGGAUCCCUCGUGUUGCAUUCC
Molecule: ribosomal RNA, 118 nt
Filed under: Aegilops tauschii subsp. strangulata
Lineage: Eukaryota; Viridiplantae; Streptophyta; Magnoliopsida; Poales; Poaceae
Source: RNAcentral